GUGUGCCUGGUAUGUACAGUCAAGUCACUGGUACCUGAAAAGAUUCAGUGAAGCACCAAAGUUUGAAACAAAAUAGCUGAGUAUAUACUGAAGCCCUCCUUUUAAGUCCUCUGGGAAAUCCAAUUACGCUUUUAACAGUCAUUAUACAUGCUUAAAUAUCUGUCCUGUUACAUGUGUUACAUAUGCACACCAUCUGCCUGCACAUGAACAUCUGUGAGCCAGGUUCUGGCCUGCUGGUAAAACACACUGUGAAAAAUCAGGGUGGACUUUUCUGCAUUAUGAGAUGCAUAUCAACCAGUUCAUCCUCACUGCUGCUUGGUUUAAGGCUGCCUAAAUUGCAUGUAGAAGCAUCAACAGCACCAGGACUGGUACAAAGCACUUACAUUGGUGGUUGCUCUAUUUUGACACCAGGUUCUCUGAUAAUCCAAAACUGAUGGAGUAGCCAUUUGCUUACAUCCGCUUUCUG
Molecule: long non-coding RNA, 466 nt
Organism: Pezoporus occidentalis (night parrot)
Lineage: Eukaryota; Metazoa; Chordata; Aves; Psittaciformes; Psittacidae
Exons: 3
Source: RefSeq, a predicted model, not a curated record